Molecule: long non-coding RNA, 545 nt
Filed under: Amphimedon queenslandica
Lineage: Eukaryota; Metazoa; Porifera; Demospongiae; Haplosclerida; Niphatidae
Description: uncharacterized LOC109585697
Source: RNAcentral
AGAUCCUAGUCUUAGAUACCUCUCUCACCACACAGCUGGAGCAACACGUCCUAAUAAUCUACCACUUGGUAUUGCUCCAGAUGGUAGUCAUUAUCCUCCUUCAAUAUCCUAUCAAAACACUCCUCUACCUCUUGACGUGAGAGUACCGCCCACAUCAAGAAUGUUCCGUCAGUCGCCUGGUUCUGAUUCGUCAGCUGAUGGUCUGACACCAAAUUAUUUUAAAGUAUCUGCUAGUGCUGAUGAUCUAACUUCUGGUGGUGAGGAUCGUAACUCUAUCCAUUCCUUUGGGUCUAAUCACAGUGGGGGAGGAGGAGGGGGCGGGGCUAAGAUUAAUUUUGAAUUAUCAGCAGCUGCUAACACCCAAAACACCGUUGUCUGAUAAUAAAGUACACAAUAAUACCCACUGAUAAUAAUUAAUAAUAAUAAUUAUGACUUGAUAUUGUGAUUAUAAUAUACUCUUUAUCAUUCUUCCUCUCUCUCUCUCUUUCUUGGAACUACUCGUGUUGUUUGCUUGUCUUAUUGCUUUAAUAACAUUACUAUUAUUA